AGUUUGAUCCUGGCUCAGAUUGAACGCUGGCGGCAGGCCUAACACAUGCAAGUCGAACGGUAACAGAAAGUAGCUUGCUACUUUGCUGACGAGUGGCGGACGGGUGAGUAAUGUCUGGGGAUCUGCCUGAUGGAGGGGGAUAACUACUGGAAACGGUAGCUAAUACCGCAUAAUGUCGCAAGACCAAAGCGGGGGACUUUCGGGCCUCGCACCAUCAGAUGAACCCAGAUGGGAUUAGCUAGUAGGUAGGGUAAUGGCUUACCUAGGCGACGAUCCCUAGCUGGUCUGGGAGGAUGACCAGCCACACUGGAACUGAGACACGGUCCAGACUCCUACGGGAGGCAGCAGUGGGGAAUAUUGCACAAUGGGCGCAAGCCUGAUGCAGCCAUGCCGCGUGUAUGAAGAAGGCCUUCGGGUUGUAAAGUACUUUCAGUCAGGAGGAAGGGUGUGAAAUUAAUACUUUCAUGCAUUGACGUUACUGACAGAAGAAGCACCGGCUAACUCCGUGCCAGCAGCCGCGGUAA
This 524-nucleotide ribosomal RNA is filed under the name uncultured bacterium. RNAcentral's name for it is "bacterial SSU rRNA". It matches the Rfam family "Bacterial small subunit ribosomal RNA", at positions 10 to 523 of the family's 1533-position model. The record is from RNAcentral.